This 152-nucleotide unclassified non-coding RNA is filed under the name Alternaria tenuissima. Its description in RNAcentral is "ITS1". The record is from RNAcentral. Lineage: Eukaryota; Fungi; Ascomycota; Dothideomycetes; Pleosporales; Pleosporaceae.
AGGCGGGCUGGAACCUCUCGGGGUUACAGCCUUGCUGAAUUAUUCACCCUUGUCUUUUGCGUACUUCUUGUUUCCUUGGUGGGUUCGCCCACCACUAGGACAAACAUAAACCUUUUGUAAUUGCAAUCAGCGUCAGUAACAAAUUAAUAAUU